ACGCUCGACACCUACUGGAGGCAGCAGUGGGGAAUAUUGCACAAUGGGGGAAACCCUGAUGCAGCGACGCCGCGUGGAGGAAGAAGGUCUUCGGAUUGUAAACUCCUGUUGUUGGGGAAAAANGGAUGGUACCCAACAAGGAAGUGACGGCUAACUACGUACCAGCAGCCGCGGUAAUCUGAGCGGGCUGGCAAGGC
RNAcentral lists this ribosomal RNA (197 nucleotides) under uncultured bacterium. RNAcentral's name for it is "partial 16S ribosomal RNA". It matches the Rfam family "Bacterial small subunit ribosomal RNA", at positions 328 to 539 of the family's 1533-position model. The record is from RNAcentral.